UCGCCGCCCGYGACUCGGCGAGAAGUCCAUUGAACCUUAUCAUUUAGAGGAAGGAGAAGUCGUAACAAGGUUUCCGUAGGUGAACCUGCGGAAGGAUCAUUG
This 102-nucleotide ribosomal RNA is filed under the name Oncidium picturatissimum. Its description in RNAcentral is "partial 18S ribosomal RNA". It matches the Rfam family "Eukaryotic small subunit ribosomal RNA". Lineage: Eukaryota; Viridiplantae; Streptophyta; Magnoliopsida; Asparagales; Orchidaceae. The record is from RNAcentral.